GGGUCUGGGAGGCUCAGCUGGAUAGAGCACCGGGCUUUUAACCCGGGGGUCAGGGGUUCAAAUCCCCUCGGGCCCGCCA
This 79-nucleotide transfer RNA is filed under the name Candidatus Bathyarchaeota archaeon. RNAcentral describes it as "tRNA-Lys". It matches the Rfam family "tRNA". Rfam says of the family: Transfer RNA (tRNA) molecules are approximately 80 nucleotides in length. Their secondary structure includes four short double-helical elements and three loops (D, anti-codon, and T loops). The record is from RNAcentral. Lineage: Archaea; Thermoproteati; Candidatus Bathyarchaeota.